RNAcentral lists this ribosomal RNA (541 nucleotides) under Escherichia albertii. RNAcentral describes it as "partial 23S ribosomal RNA". It matches the Rfam family "Bacterial large subunit ribosomal RNA", at positions 1 to 581 of the family's 2925-position model. Lineage: Bacteria; Pseudomonadati; Pseudomonadota; Gammaproteobacteria; Enterobacterales; Enterobacteriaceae. The record is from RNAcentral.
GGUUAAGCGACUAAGCGUACACGGUGGAUGCCCUGGCAGUCAGAGGCGAUGAAGGACGUGCUAAUCUGCGAAAAGCGUCGGUAAGGUGAUAUGAACCGUUAUAACCGGCGAUGUCCGAAUGGGGAAACCCAGUGUGUUUCGACACACUAUCAUUAACUGAAUCCAUAGGUUAAUGAGGCGAACCGGGGGAACUGAAACAUCUAAGUACCCCGAGGAAAAGAAAUCAACCGAGAUUCCCCCAGUAGCGGCGAGCGAACGGGGAGGAGCCCAGAGCCUGAAUCAGUGUGUGUGUUAGUGGAAGCGUCUGGAAAGGCGUGCGAUACAGGGUGACAGCCCCGUACACAAAAAUGCACAUGCUGUGAGCUCGAUGAGUAGGGCGGGACACGUGGUAUCCUGUCUGAAUAUGGGGGGACCAUCCUCCAAGGCUAAAUACUCCUGACUGACCGAUAGUGAACCAGUACCGUGAGGGAAAGGCGAAAAGAACCCCGGCGAGGGGAGUGAAAAAGAACCUGAAACCGUGUACGUACAAGCAGUGGGAGCC